RNAcentral lists this ribosomal RNA (494 nucleotides) under Alkalinema pantanalense TUEA2022CB3. Its description in RNAcentral is "bacterial SSU rRNA". It matches the Rfam family "Bacterial small subunit ribosomal RNA", at positions 226 to 736 of the family's 1533-position model. The record is from RNAcentral. Lineage: Bacteria; Bacillati; Cyanobacteriota; Cyanophyceae; Leptolyngbyales; Leptolyngbyaceae.
UGAGCUCGCGUCUGAUUAGCUAGUAGGUGAGGUAAUGGCUCACCUAGGCGACGAUCAGUAACUGGUCUGAGAGGAUGACCAGUCACACUGGGACUGAGACACGGCCCAGACUCCUACGGGAGGCAGCAGUGGGGAAUUUUCCGCAAUGGGCGAAAGCCUGACGGAGCAAUACCGCGUGAGGGAGGAAGGCUUUUGGGUUGUAAACCUCUUUUAUUAGGGAAGAAGAUCUGACGGUACCUAAUGAAUCAGCAUCGGCUAACUUCGUGCCAGCAGCCGCGGUAAUACGAGGGAUGCAAGCGUUAUCCGGAAUUAUUGGGCGUAAAGCGUCCACCGUGGUUUUACAAGUCUGCUGUCAAAGCGUGGAGCUUAACUCCAUAACGGCGGUGGAAACUGUAAGACUAGAGGUCAGUAGGGGUCACGGGAAUUCCCAGUGUAGCGGUGAAAUGCGUAGAUAUUGGGAAGAACACCAGCGGCGAAAGCGCGUGACUGGGCUG